GCAAGUCGAACGAUGAAACUCAGCUGAUUUCUUCGGAAUGAAUUUGAGCGGAUUAGUGGCGAACGGGUGAGUAACACGUGAGUAACCUGCCUUACACAAGGGGAUAGCCUUUGGAAACGAAGAAUAAUACCCUAUAAAGUUAGUCAAUCGCAUGGUAGACUAACCAAAGAUUUAUCGGUGUAAGAUGGACUUGCGUCUGAUUAGCUAGUUGGUGAGAUAAAAGCCCACCAAGGCGACGAUCAGUAGCCGGCUUGAGAGAGUGUAC
Molecule: ribosomal RNA, 265 nt
Filed under: uncultured bacterium
Lineage: Bacteria
Description: partial 16S ribosomal RNA
Rfam family: Bacterial small subunit ribosomal RNA
Source: RNAcentral